This is a long non-coding RNA of Chenopodium quinoa (quinoa), 1841 nucleotides long. RefSeq lists it as uncharacterized. Lineage: Eukaryota; Viridiplantae; Streptophyta; Magnoliopsida; Caryophyllales; Amaranthaceae. The transcript has 5 exons. The record is from RefSeq and is a predicted model, not a curated record.
GGUUUGUAUAUUGUGAUUUUUGGCUUCAAAUGCGUUUUGAUAGGGUUAUUGUGGAAACAAGUAUGUUUUGAAUUAGUAAUUACUUUUGUUGAUGGUUUUAUGGAUUAGUGAAUUGCAUUCUCAGCUAAUUCUUUAGAUUGUGAAGUUGAGUUUGCAAAUGAAACGUUAUAGAAUGAGAAAUUCGAAUCAAUAUUUGCUUGAAAUGGCUUGUAGGUUGUUAUUUACUGAUGGAUUUAUAUAGCGAUAAUUUGGGGAAUUUUGGUUACAAUCACUUUGAUAUGAGGCAAUAAUGUUGGUAUUCUGGUUUUGAAUUUGAUUUUAUGGGAAGAUCUGGGAUUUCUUCGAAAGCUGUGAUCUUUAUGGUGAUUUUUAAGGUUGGAAAUUCUAAUUUCUUUGCAGAAAAAUUUGGUGGUAAACUGGUAAUAUCUUGAAUUCUAAAAAUGUUAUUGUGAAACAUUAACUACAAUGGUGAUACACUAUAUAAACUAGAGCUGUUGUCUCCUGUGUUUGAAAGGAAAGAGGUCAAUAAUGCUAUCACUCUCUUGAUGUUGGUGCAUUUAGGGGUGCUAAACCUUUGAGCCGAGCCCGAAUAGUGGUAGGCUCGGCUCGAGCUCAUUUGCCUUGAUGUAAGCUCGGUUCGAGCUCGAAGCUCGACGAGCUUUCGAAAGAUAGGCUCAGCUCGAGCUCGUGACGCAAGAUGCAGGUUCGGUUCGAAGCUCGACUCGAAUUCGUUUUUUUUUUUUAUAUUAUUAUUGGCUUGAGCUCAGACUCGAAUUUAUAAUCCACAAUCACAUAAUGGUAUACUCUUAAUUUGAAAUUGAAAUAAUUAGAAAUAAGGAGAUUUAUAUUUACAUACUAACAAUCUAACAUGCCCCUACCAUAAAUAAUUGAAGCCCGCUUGAAGGUUUGAAGAUUUUGAACGGUAGACGGCGAGUCAGUGAUGGUGAGGCUACUGGGGGCGUGGGUCAGGUACUCAGGUGGUGUUCUUGCUGUGAGUUUUGUGCUGGUGAAAUUGUGAGCCUGACGGCUGGGCGUGAGAAAUGAGAAAUUGAGAAUGAGGUUCGUGCUUAUGCGGUGAGUGUUUUUGAAAGAGUUGACGAUGAUAUACUAUCUUCUGCAGUUAGUCCCAGCCCUUCGUUAUAAGCACUCAGAUAGAUCACGCCCAUCUCAUUUCCUUGUGCAACGCUGUUAGGGGACAAUUUUCACUCCUAAUGAGUUACAAAGGGUCAACUGAGGUAGCUAUGCUACCUAGCAACUGCAGCAAUUACUUCGCUUGAAUAUAUUGUCCGGAUUAAAAAAGCACAAGUAUUAGUAAUUGCUGUGUCUUUUUAAAUCCGGAAGACCAGAAUCAUGAGUGGAAUUGUAGACGGAAAUACGGAAUCGCGGCAGCAGUACAACCUGAUGAAGCAUACUCCAGGUAAUCGUGCUAAUAUUGCCUUGCAAAUUUAGUGCUUGGAGCAGCAAGGGUAGAUGGUGUUUCAGAAGUUCAAGUAGAUGGGAGAGGGGCUGAGAAGGUGCAAUUUUUGAAAUCAUUAGGCACUGACCAUGUUGGUGGAAAGCUAACAAAGGAUGCCAUGAAUCUGUUGAACAGGGGGAGCUAACAUGUUGGUCAUUGGAUUUGCCAGUGGAGGAGUUCCUAUCAUUCCUAGGAAUAUAGCUCAAGGAAAUGGAUCAACUACAAUGAGAUUUUUUAAAAAAAAUUACAUAACAAUAGAUGGAAGAUAGAUGAGGGGAUAAGGAAAGCAAGGAAGUAAGAUAGAUUCUUUAGUAGCACUGUAAUAGUGUAAUAUGAUACUUUUAGUAACACUGUUAUACCAUAUAGUUUAUUUGUGAUUGUUAAA